UCCAGACUCCUACGGGAGGCAGCAGUGGGGAAUAUUGCACAAUGGGGGGAACCCUGGUGCAGCGACGCCGCGUGGGUGAAGGAGUAUUUCGGUAUGUAAAGCCCUAUCAGCAGGGAAGAACAAUGACGGUACCUGACUAAGAAGCACCGGCUAAAUACGUGCCAGCAGCCGCGGUAAUACGUAGGUGGCAAGCGUUGUCCGGAUUUACUGGGUGUAAAGGGCGUGUAGCCGGGAAGGCAAGUCAGAUGUGAAAUCCGGAGGCUCAACCUCCGAAUUGCAUUUGAAACUGUUUUUCUUGAGUACUGGAGAGGCAGACGGAAUUCCUUGUGUAGCGGUGAAAUGCGUAGAUAUAAGGAGGAACACCAGUGGCGAAGGCGGUCUGCUGGACAGCAACUGACGGUGAGGCGCGAAAGCGUGGGGAGCAAACAGGAUUAGAUACCCCAGUAU
This 447-nucleotide ribosomal RNA is filed under the name uncultured bacterium. Its description in RNAcentral is "bacterial SSU rRNA". It matches the Rfam family "Bacterial small subunit ribosomal RNA", at positions 330 to 793 of the family's 1533-position model. The record is from RNAcentral.